Long non-coding RNA from Patella vulgata (common limpet), 2182 nucleotides. RefSeq lists it as uncharacterized. The record is from RefSeq and is a predicted model, not a curated record. Lineage: Eukaryota; Metazoa; Mollusca; Gastropoda; Patellidae. The transcript has 6 exons.
CACCAGGACCAGGAUCUAACUGGGGAUUAAUAGGUGGAAUUAUUGGAGGAGUUGUGGCAGCCAUUCUGGUUGUUGUAGUUGUGGUUGUCCUUAUCAAAAGACACAGAAAACAAAAUGACGAUACAGAAAACAGACACAACGUGCCCCUGGUAGAAGUUCCAAGUAGACAGCCAGGGAGAAUGAUAAUAGAUGAGGUGGUGAACUACAUCAGUGCUGAUGAAAUUAAGAAAGAUGAAACUGCAAACUAUGCACAAGUAAACAAAGACAAUAAACCAACAGAAAUAAAACCGAAUCCAGAAUCUCUUUAUGCAACUGUAAAUAAAACUAAGAACGGAGAGGCUUAUGAAAAUGUGGGUAUAUUUGGUGACAUCAAUGGUAUUAAUACAAAUGAAUAUGAAAACCAUUCAAUUAAGCCUGGUCCUACCGAAACAGUUUAUGCCGAUCUAGAUUUUGAUGGCCACCAACCAACUACAACCAUACGAGGCCAGGAAGAAGCUGUAGAAUAUAGUGGUAUUGAUUAUACUAAACGUGGACCAACUCAACCAACACCACCAGAUAGUAGUGAUGAGGAGGCGGACAAUCGAGAGUAAGCAACAUGGUUAGCACACCACUCCAACAAUAUUAGGACUAAUACACUAUUUUGAAUAAUAAUUCUCUUUUUGAUCUAGUUUCUGUGACAACCGAUGUUGAAAUUAAUUUGCAUUAAACAUUUCGCGUGAUGAUAUGAGUAUAUAUAGUUAAUUAUUUAACAGAAUAUCGACAAGUAGAUAUCGUAGUUCAGAAUUUUUACUUUGUUAUGAAAUGAGAUAUAAAUAUCAUUUUAAAGUACAACCAGUGUUUUAUAUUUUAAGUUGUUAAGCAAGUAAUAUUACACCAUAAUAAUUAAAAAUUUGAAAAACGGCAAUAUUGCUACAUUAAAAAGGUAUUAUGUAAGAUUUAGGUAAAGAGUUGACCGUUCUCGUUAUAAUAGUUCAAAAAUAUAUAAUGCAAAAUGAAUAUAUUGAAAAUCUCAAUCAAAUUACUUUAUUCGGAGUAGUUGAUUGUUUAUUGUCGUAACCACAGUACUGGUAUAUUCGAGGCCUAGCCUCGAUUCUCUAUUUUUGAAUGAUUUCAUUAAAUCGCCGAACAGUUCUAAUCUAAUUUUAAGGAAAUACAUUUUAACCCUUUAAAAUAGGAAAACUGGCCUAAAUUGACGACAGUUUAUCCAAUGUUCGGAUCUUUCAUUGGUCUUCAUUAUCUGUCACAUCGAUUGAUUCACUAGUUGUUAUAGUAAUACCCUUUUACAAUUUCUGUGGUCUGGAUACACGGUACUCCCUCCUCUCACAUUAUCCGUAUAUAGGGUUAGAAGUGAUAUAAAGUAAUGUGUGUGCAAAUAUUCUGAAAUGGAGCAGGUACACUGUUGAUCGGUGAGGCUGUUGUAGGUUAAGUAUUGUUUUAAAUACAAGUUACGUCCUAUCCCUGUCAGUAGAUGGUAAGGAAUUCGGAUCUCACAAAUCAUAUUAAUGAUUAUUUAACUGCAUCCUCCUGUAAUAUCAUUUGUUUAUAAACGCAACGAGGAGAAAAAUCUGUGUUAUUAUAACCUUUCAUUUUUCUGCCAAACAAAAAACAAAAAAAUAAAAAAAGAAAUAAAAAAAUAGCUUGUUGCAUUUGUAUCAUGUGACUCCCGUUGUAAAAUUUAUCAACACAACAUAUAUUGGAUAUUCAACUAGAUUACAGUUAUUAAUAUAACUUGUAUAGAGCAGUAACAUUCUCAUCACAUGUAUAUAUUUAUGUUUGUUAUCACUGAUAUGUACGGAAGACCAUUAGGGUCAAUCAAAUGAAAACGUAGGACGUAGUAAAAUUUCCCUCAUAGCACACUGCCCGUCUUCAUUAGCCCAAUCGGAGUAAAACAGCAAGACGUUAAACCCAAUUUCAUUUCAUUUCAUUUGGAGCAUGAAAAUAACGAAUGAUAUUAAUGGGAGCAUUAUAUGAAUGUGCCGAUUCUGUAACAUAAAAUAAAGUACGGCGUUGACCUAGUUAUUCGAUAAAUCAGUAUAUGGCGACCUUGAAAUAAAUUACUCAUGGGCUUCCAUCUUGUAUUUACAAGAUAAUUAGAUUUUAUUUUUCAUUUGAUUGACCUUAAUGGUCUUUCUUAGGUAUGUUUAUUUUUGACUGUUGAAAUGUAUAUAGAUUAUUUGUUUAG